Rhododendron griersonianum is the source of this 80-nucleotide non-coding RNA. NCBI's taxonomy places the organism in Eukaryota, Viridiplantae, Streptophyta, Magnoliopsida, Ericales, Ericaceae. The record is from the annotation of a GenBank genome assembly.
GAUGGGGUUGGCCUAGUGGUCAAGACAUAAGAUUUAAGCUCUUAAGGUCUCAGGUUCGAGACCGAUCUUAAAUGCCAUCA